Molecule: ribosomal RNA, 253 nt
Filed under: uncultured bacterium
Lineage: Bacteria
Description: partial 16S ribosomal RNA
Rfam family: Bacterial small subunit ribosomal RNA
Source: RNAcentral
UACGUAGGGUGCAAGCGUUGUUCGGAAUUACUGGGCGUAAAGGGCGCGUAGGCGGUUCGUUAAGUCCUGUGUGAAAUCCCCCGGCUCAACUGGGGAACUGCACAGGAAACUAGCGGGCUUGAGUUCGGGAGAGGGAAGCGGAAUUCCGGGUGUAGCGGUGAAAUGCGUAGAUAUCCGGAGGAACACCGGUGGCGAAGGCGGCUUCCUGGACCGACACUGACGCUGAGGCGCGAAAGCUAGGGGAGCAAACGGG